This 468-nucleotide ribosomal RNA is filed under the name uncultured bacterium. RNAcentral describes it as "bacterial SSU rRNA". It matches the Rfam family "Bacterial small subunit ribosomal RNA", at positions 355 to 825 of the family's 1533-position model. The record is from RNAcentral.
UGAGGAAUAUUGGACAAUGGGCGCAAGCCUGAUCCAGCCAUGCCGCGUGCAGGAUGACGGUCCUAUGGAUUGUAAACUGCUUUUUGUGCAGGAAGAAACAGUUCUACGUGUAGAACCUUGACGGUACUGUAAGAAUAAGGAUCGGCUAACUCCGUGCCAGCAGCCGCGGUAAUACGGAGGAUCCAAGCGUUAUCCGGAAUCAUUGGGUUUAAAGGGUCCGUAGGCGGUUAGAUAAGUCAGUGGUGAAAGCCCAUCGCUCAACGGUGGAACGGCCAUUGAUACUGUCUGACUUGAAUUAUUAGGAAGUAACUAGAAUAUGUAGUGUAGCGGUGAAAUGCUUAGAGAUUACAUGGAAUACCAAUUGCGAAGGCAGGUUACUACUAAUGGAUUGACGCUGAUGGACGAAAGCGUGGGUAGCGAACAGGAUUAGAUACCCCUGUAGUCCCUGAGCGGGCUGGCAAGGCGCAU